Molecule: long non-coding RNA, 232 nt
Filed under: Medicago truncatula (barrel medic)
Lineage: Eukaryota; Viridiplantae; Streptophyta; Magnoliopsida; Fabales; Fabaceae
Description: long non-coding RNA (MTRU_LNC000172)
Source: RNAcentral
UUAAGUUUCGAGUUUGUUUCGGAUAGGUCAUUUCUGUCAAUCUCCGUUAAGCCAAAGUUGUUAUGUCCGUUAAGCCAAAGCUGAUAUGUCUGUUAAGUAGGUGAGUUGGUUCUCUCUGACACUUGACAUCAAUUUUAACCCAACCAGGUCAACUUUGGCUUAACGGACAGAUCAACUUUGACUUAACGGAGGUUGAUAGAAAUGACCUAUCUGAAACAAACUCGAAACUUAA